RNAcentral lists this ribosomal RNA (1482 nucleotides) under uncultured organism. RNAcentral describes it as "SSU rRNA". It matches the Rfam family "Bacterial small subunit ribosomal RNA". The record is from RNAcentral.
GAUGAACGCUGGCGGCGUGCCUAAUACAUGCAAGUCGAACGAGUUCUGAUUAUUGAAAGGUGCUUGCAUCUUGAUUUAAUUUUGAACGAGUGGCGGACGGGUGAGUAACACGUGGGUAACCUGCCCUUAAGUGGGGGAUAACAUUUGGAAACAGAUGCUAAUACCGCAUAAAUCCAAAAACCGCAUGGUUCUUGGCUGAAAGAUGGCGUAAGCUAUCGCUUUUGGAUGGACCCGCGGCGUAUUAGCUAGUUGGUGAGGUAACGGCUCACCAAGGCAAUGAUACGUAGCCGAACUGAGAGGUUGAUCGGCCACAUUGGGACUGAGACACGGCCCAAACUCCUACGGGAGGCAGCAGUAGGGAAUCUUCCACAAUGGACGCAAGUCUGAUGGAGCAACGCCGCGUGAGUGAAGAAGGCUUUCGGGUCGUAAAACUCUGUUGUUGGAGAAGAAUGGUCGGCAGAGUAACUGUUGUCGGCGUGACGGUAUCCAACCAGAAAGCCACGGCUAACUACGUGCCAGCAGCCGCGGUAAUACGUAGGUGGCAAGCGUUAUCCGGAUUUAUUGGGCGUAAAGCGAGCGCAGGCGGUUUUUUAAGUCUGAUGUGAAAGCCCUCGGCUUAACCGAGGAAGUGCAUCGGAAACUGGGAAACUUGAGUGCAGAAGAGGACAGUGGAACUCCAUGUGUAGCGGUGAAAUGCGUAGAUAUAUGGAAGAACACCAGUGGCGAAGGCGGCUGUCUGGUCUGUAACUGACGCUGAGGCUCGAAAGCAUGGGUAGCGAACAGGAUUAGAUACCCUGGUAGUCCAUGCCGUAAACGAUGAAUGCUAGGUGUUGGAGGGUUUCCGCCCUUCAGUGCCGCAGCUAACGCAUUAAGCAUUCCGCCUGGGGAGUACGACCGCAAGGUUGAAACUCAAAGGAAUUGACGGGGGCCCGCACAAGCGGUGGAGCAUGUGGUUUAAUUCGAAGCAACGCGAAGAACCUUACCAGGUCUUGACAUCUUUUGAUCACCUGAGAGAUCAGGUUUCCCCUUCGGGGGCAAAAUGACAGGUGGUGCAUGGUUGUCGUCAGCUCGUGUCGUGAGAUGUUGGGUUAAGUCCCGCAACGAGCGCAACCCUUAUGACUAGUUGCCAGCAUUUAGUUGGGCACUCCAGUAAGACUGCCGGUGACAAACCGGAGGAAGGUGGGGAUGACGUCAAAUCAUCAUGCCCCUUAUGACCUGGGCUACACACGUGCUACAAUGGAUGGUACAACGAGUUGCGAGACCGCGAGGUCAAGCUAAUCUCUUAAAGCCAUUCUCAGUUCGGACUGUAGGCUGCAACUCGCCUACACGAAGUCGGAAUCGCUAGUAAUCGCGGAUCAGCACGCCGCGGUGAAUACGUUCCCGGGCCUUGUACACACCGCCCGUCACACCAUGAGAGUUUGUAACACCCGAAGCCGGUGGCGUAACCCUUUUAGGGAGCGAGCCGUCUAAGGUGGGACAAAU